This 73-nucleotide transfer RNA is filed under the name Hyalella azteca. RNAcentral describes it as "tRNA-Phe". It matches the Rfam family "tRNA". Rfam says of the family: Transfer RNA (tRNA) molecules are approximately 80 nucleotides in length. Their secondary structure includes four short double-helical elements and three loops (D, anti-codon, and T loops). Lineage: Eukaryota; Metazoa; Arthropoda; Malacostraca; Amphipoda; Hyalellidae. The record is from Rfam by way of RNAcentral.
GCCUAGAUAACUCAGUUGGGAGAGCGUUAGACUGAAGAUCUAAGUGUCCCUGGUUCGAUCCCGGGUCUGGGCA